This 1485-nucleotide ribosomal RNA is filed under the name uncultured prokaryote. RNAcentral's name for it is "partial 16S ribosomal RNA". It matches the Rfam family "Bacterial small subunit ribosomal RNA". The record is from RNAcentral.
AGAGUUUGAACCUGGCUCAGGAUGAACGCUAGCGGCAGGCUUAACACAUGCAAGUCGAGGGGUAACAGGGAAAGCUUGCUUUCCGCUGACGACCGGCGAACGGGUGCGUAACACGUAUGCAACUUACCCUUUACAGGAGGAUAGCCCAGAGAAAUCUGGAUUAAUACUCCAUAACAUAUCAAAUUCGCAUGUUUUUGAUUUUAAAGUUCCGGCGGUAAAGGAUGGGCAUGCGGCCUAUUAGCUUGUUGGUGAGGUAACGGCUCACCAAGGCUACGAUAGGUAGGGGGUCUGAGAGGAUUAUCCCCCACACUGGUACUGAGACACGGACCAGACUCCUACGGGAGGCAGCAGUAAGGAAUAUUGGACAAUGGGCGAAAGCCUGAUCCAGCCAUGCCGCGUGCAGGAAGAAGGCCCUAUGGGUUGUAAACUGCUUUAAUACAGGAAUAAACCCCCUUACGUGUAAGGGGCUGAAGGUACUGUAAGAAUAAGCACCGGCUAACUCCGUGCCAGCAGCCGCGGUAAUACGGAGGGUGCAAGCGUUAUCCGGAUUUAUUGGGUUUAAAGGGUCCGCAGGCGGAUCAAUUAGUCAGUGGUGAAAUCCUGCAGCUCAACUGUAGAACUGCCAUUGAUACUGAUAUUCUUGAAUAUACUUGAAGUGGGCGGAAUGUGUCAUGUAGCGGUGAAAUGCUUAGAUAUGACACAGAACACCGAUUGCGAAGGCAGCUCACUAACGUAUUAUUGACGCUGAGGGACGAAAGCGUGGGUAGCGAACAGGAUUAGAUACCCUGGUAGUCCACGCCGUAAACGAUGAUUACUCGAUAUUGGCGAUAUAAAGUCAGUGUCCAAGCGAAAGUGAUAAGUAAUCCACCUGGGGAGUACGGUCGCAAGAUUGAAACUCAAAGGAAUUGACGGGGGCCCGCACAAGCGGUGGAGCAUGUGGUUUAAUUCGAUGAUACGCGAGGAACCUUACCUGGGCUUAAAUGUAUUUUGACAGGCUGGGAAACCAGUCCUUCUUCGGACAAUUUACAAGGUGCUGCAUGGUUGUCGUCAGCUCGUGCUGUGAGGUGUCGGGUUAAGUCCCAUAACGAGCGCAACCCCUAUCCUUAGUUGCCAGCGAGUAAUGUCGGGGACUCUAAGGAAACUGCCGGUGCAAACCGUGAGGAAGGUGGGGAUGACGUCAAAUCAUCACGGCCCUUACGUCCAGGGCUACACACGUGCUACAAUGGCGCAUACAAAGGGCAGCUACAUGGUGACAUGAUGCUAAUCUCUAAAGUGCGUCUCAGUUCGGAUCGAAGUCUGCAACUCGACUUCGUGAAGCUGGAAUCGCUAGUAAUCGUAUAUCAGCAAUGAUACGGUGAAUACGUUCCCGGGCCUUGUACACACCGCCCGUCAAGCCAUGGAAGUUGGGAGUGCCUGAAGUCGGUGACCGCAAGGAGCUGCCUAAGGUAAAACUAGUAACUAGGGCUAAGUCGAAACAAGGUAGCC